Molecule: ribosomal RNA, 253 nt
Filed under: uncultured bacterium
Lineage: Bacteria
Description: partial 16S ribosomal RNA
Rfam family: Bacterial small subunit ribosomal RNA
Source: RNAcentral
UACGUAGGGGGCAAGCGUUGUCCGGAUUUAUUGGGCGUAAAGAGCUCGUAGGCGGUUCAGCAAGUCGGGUGUGAAAAAUCUGGGCUCAACCCAGUGGAGCACCCGAUACUGCUGUGACUCGAGUCCGGUAGGGGAGUGUGGAAUUUCUCGUGUAGCGGUGAAAUGCGCAGAUAUGAGAAGGAACACCAACGGCGAAGGCAGCACUCUGGGCCGGUACUGACGCUGAGGAGCGAAAGCGUGGGGAGCGAACAGG